AGAGACUGUUUUUGUCGAGCCUGCAACUUUUGUUGCAGAAAGCUCGACAUAGGGAUAGUGAUCCGGCGGCGGCGGCGGUGUUAGCUCACUUCUUAAAAGCUAUAUAUUUUUAGAACGUGGAAGACCUGGAUGCUUCAUAUUUUGUAUAUAGAUGCCUCAUGUUACGAAGUUUCCGUCAGUCACAUGUCCAUUGUCCUUGACCUCAUUUUCAUGGUUCAGUGACCACUUGAAAAAAAAGUUCAGAUUUUUUGUAAUGUUAAAUUCUCUCUUACUGUAAGUAAUAGGAUAACUAUAUUUAGUAUGUGCGUACCUUGCAAGGUCCUCAUGCCCGUCAGACAAUUUUCACUUGACCUCGACCUCAUUUCAUGGAUCAGUGAACAAGGUUAAGUUUUGGUGGUCAAGUCCAUAUCUCAGAUACUAUAAGCAAUAGGUCUUGUAUAUUUGGUGUAUGGAAGGACUGUAAGGUGUACAUGUCCAACUGGCAGGUGUCAUCUGACCUUGACCUCAUUUUCAUGGUUCAGUGGUUAUAGUUAAGUUUUUGUGUUUUGGUCUGUUUUUCUCAUACUUUAUGCAAUAGGUUUACUAUAUUUGUUGUAUGGAAUGAUUGUAAGGUGUACAUGUCUAGCGGACAGAUGUCAUCUAACCUUGACCUCAUUUUCAUGGUUCAGUGGUUAUAGUUAAGUUUUUGUGUUUUGGUCUGUUUUUCUCAUACUUUUUGCAAUAGGUUAACUAUAUUUGUUGUAUGGAAUGAUUGUAAGGUGUACAUGUCUAGCGGGUAGAUGUCAUCUGACCUUGACCUCAUUUUCAUGGUUCAGUGGUCAAAGUUAAGUUUUUGAGUUUUGGUCUUUUCAUCUAAUACUAUAUGUCAUAGGUCAACUAUAUUUGGUGUAUGGAAAUAUUUUAUGAUCUAUAUGUCAGUCGUGCAGGUUUUAUUUGACCUUGACCUGGUUUUCACGGUUCAUUGCUCAGUGUUAAGUUUUUGUGUUUUGGUCUAUUUUCUUAAACUAUAAGCAAUAGGUCAACUAUAUUUGUUGUAUGGAAGCAUUGUUAGCUGUACAUGUCUGCAUGGCAUAUGGUUCAACUGACCUUGACCUCAUUUUCAUGGUUCAUGUUAAGUUUAUGUGACAGUCGUAAUAAAGCUUUAUAUUUAGGAGUAUCAACAUAAUAUCAAUGAUUAGUAAAGAAGGCGAGG
This 1192-nucleotide long non-coding RNA is filed under the name Mytilus galloprovincialis (Mediterranean mussel). The record is from RNAcentral. Lineage: Eukaryota; Metazoa; Mollusca; Bivalvia; Mytilida; Mytilidae.